This is a non-coding RNA of Pelobates cultripes (western spadefoot toad), 783 nucleotides long. Lineage: Eukaryota; Metazoa; Chordata; Amphibia; Anura; Pelobatidae. The record is from the annotation of a GenBank genome assembly.
AGAAGUAGACAUUGAAAGCAUGGAGUUUACACCAGGGGAAAUGGACAGUAUCGGAAGUGCCAGUGAUGUGGAAGACCACUACAGUUUGCAAAGUGGCUCCAGUGAUGGGAGUUUUACACAUUCCCUGAGACUCAAUUCCAGGUUGUCAUAGUGGUCAAAAUACUGAACCAACUCAGGACCAUCCAGCUGAAGGCACUUAAGAGAAAACAAAUGAAUACAAAAAAACUUAAAAAAAAAAAAAGAAUACCAAGUCACAAAUAUGCCAACCUCCGCUCAGCUUGAUUCUCAAUUUAAAAAAAUGAACUCCUGUCAUUGUUUGUCCCCUCAAAGACACCAACUCGGGCUGCACUUUGACAAUGAGGGGACAAUAUGAAAUCAAAGUUUUAAAAUUAUUUACAGAAGAAGGUUAAAACGCAAUGAAACCCAUUUUGUUUUAAGCAUAUCAUUCCAUUAUUAAGUAUUACAUGGAAACACAGGAAAGUGCAAGUCAGAUAUCUUUCAUUAUCCAACAACAGGUUAGUUUUGAAAAUGAAGAAGAAUUUAUACGCCUGGCAAUUUUCAUAGUAAAUAACCCUAAUUUUUUUUUUUUUUUUUGUGAACAGAUAAAGUGCUGAAUUUGGGAACGUCUAUAUUUUUUAGCAUUAUGUUCUGGGGAGAGAAGGAGAGAAAUAUUGUAGGAUUUUUUUUAUAUCUGAAGUUGAUCUUCGGUAGGAGAGCUCAAAAAAGUCUGUACUGUACAAGGGUUUGGGAUAAAGGCCUACUCUAUAUAUGACUUCAAAUGAC